GAUUUCUGGUGUGGUGCGCCGAGCCCGCAUCCGUUUAGGUUGUGAGUGCUUGCUGCGCGCCUACCAUCCUUCCGGAGAGGCCGAUCUGCCCUUAACUGGAACGGGUCGCGUCGAUCUGGAUCGUUUACUUUGAAAAAAUUAGAGUGUUUAAAGCAGGCGUUUGCUAUGAAUACAUUAGCAUGGAAUAAUAAGAUAGGACUUUGGUUCUAUUUUGUUGGUUUCUAGGACUGAAGUAAUGAUUGAUAGGGACAGUUGGGGGUGCUAGUAUUUAACGGCCAGAGGUGAAAUUCUUGGAUUCGUUAAAGACUAACUUAUGCGAAAGCAUU
RNAcentral lists this ribosomal RNA (326 nucleotides) under uncultured Sandonidae. RNAcentral's name for it is "bacterial SSU rRNA". The stretch from base 107 to 326 matches the Rfam family "Eukaryotic small subunit ribosomal RNA", at positions 734 to 955 of the family's 1831-position model. RNAcentral also lists the same sequence under 1 other name. Lineage: Eukaryota; Cercozoa; Glissomonadida; Viridiraptoridae. The record is from RNAcentral.